AAAGACUUAGGAUUUUUUUCUUUUUUGUUCUGUUAGAAAAAGAAAGAAUUUCCUAUUUUUCCUUAAAAUCAAUACAAUAUAAAAUAAAUAACUAAGAGACUGGAAAUGGAAGUAUUUUCCACGCAUCCAUUCUCCAUCACGCUGUCAGAAGAAAAAUCUUGGAUGCUGUAAUAUGGAAAUAUUUGGUACAUGAAGCUACGAUCUAAUAGAUAUACAUCUAAAUAAAUAAAUCUGAUUAUAAAUCUUAUAUAGAUAUAAAUAAAUCGUAUAUAG
RNAcentral lists this long non-coding RNA (273 nucleotides) under Panax ginseng (ginseng). RNAcentral describes it as "long non-coding RNA (PGIN_LNC010839)". Lineage: Eukaryota; Viridiplantae; Streptophyta; Magnoliopsida; Apiales; Araliaceae. The record is from RNAcentral.